AACGAACGCUGGCGGCAUGCCUAACACAUGCAAGUCGAACGAGACCUUCGGGUCUAGUGGCGCACGGGUGCGUAACGCGUGGGAAUCUGCCCUUGGGUUCGGAAUAACAGUUGGAAACGGCUGCUAAUACCGGAUGAUGACGUAAGUCCAAAGAUUUAUCGCCCAAGGAUGAGCCCGCGUAGGAUUAGCUAGUUGGUGAGGUAAAGGCUCACCAAGGCGACGAUCCUUAGCUGGUCUGAGAGGAUGAUCAGCCACACUGGGACUGAGACACGGCCCAGACUCCUACGCGAGGCAGCAGUGGGGAAUAUUGCACAACCGCCGGAAGCCUGAUCCUGCAAUGCCGCGUGAGUGAUGAAGGCCGUAGGGUUCUAAAGCGCUUUUAACCGGGAUGAUAAUGACAGUACCGGGAGAAUAAGCCCCGGCUAACUCCGUG
This 433-nucleotide ribosomal RNA is filed under the name uncultured bacterium. RNAcentral describes it as "partial 16S ribosomal RNA". It matches the Rfam family "Bacterial small subunit ribosomal RNA", at positions 29 to 507 of the family's 1533-position model. The record is from RNAcentral.